AGAGAUAUUGCAAUUCAUUUGUACGCAAGAGAGAUUUCUAUUCAUUUACACAGAAAACUAAUCAGGAGAUUGUACAAAUAUUGAACAUUCUAUGUCCCGACUUGCUCUAAGAUAUACACAGCUCUUCAACAUUUUAUUUAUCAUCUUCAGCUGCCUUAUCUGUAGGUUGUUCAGCAGACUUCUUAGGAGUGGACUUGUACCGCCUGUAUAAUGAGGCGAAGCUUGAACCUAUAUCUUCAAAACUAACAGAAUAUCCAGACCGAGGGGGAACAACAGUCGAAUCAUCAAGAAUAGUAGUCAAAUCAUCAUCAGCACCAGAUUGAGACAAUACACUAUCACUGGCGGACCGAGACAAUACACUAUCACUGGCGGCUUCGAGACGUUCGAGACGCAUGAACGGUACAUACUUACGUUCGGAGACCACGCCGGCGGCGGUAGAUGAUUCAUACUGGCGAAAGAUAACACCGUCGUCCAGGAGGCUGCGAGGAGACGAUGCAGAUGGCGAAUCACCGCCAGCACCAGAUUGAGAUGACGAAGCGUAAGUAUCACCGGCGGAUCGAGAUUUCGAUACGGCGUCGUCGUUCGCAUCGGCGGAACGAGAUUUCGAUACGCCGUCGUCUUUUGCACUGGCGGAUCCGGACUUCGAUACGCUGGCGGAUUCGAGAAGUUCGACACGAAUAAACGGUACAUCCUCACGUUCGGAGACCACGCCGGCGUCGGUAGAUGAUUCAUCUUGGCGAAAGAUUACGCCGUCGUCCAGGAGGCUGCGAGGAGACGAUGCAGAUGGCGAAUUACCAGGGGCUUCGAGGCUAAAGUAGGGAAGAUCUUCGUCAUCAUCAGCAGAUCUAUAUGACGUAGACGCACUGUCCCCGAGAUUUCCGGUAUCAGCGAUCGUCGUCGCCGCACCGGCGAGAACUUGAGAGGACGGAGAUUCGUGGAGAUCUGAGAUCGCCGGAACCGUGGUGACGACGGAUGAUGAGGCGGUGUUGGAUGAGGGUGUUGGAGAGGGGAGCGAGGUGAGGGGAACAGCAUCACGAGCCCCAGAGGGGGCCACAACUGUGAACAACAGAAACACGUGGAGUGUCAAGUCCAUUACCGAAGAACUAGUCAUUUUGACUUUUUAGAAUCACUCCUUUUUUUUACCAGUAUUAUAUACGGAGUAGUAAUUUCACUGAGAGUGUGAUUUAUCUUCCGACUCCCUUGACUUGUAUAGGCAUAGGAGCGGUACGCAUUUUAACGAUUUUUUAAAGUGUAGUUAUAUAUUUUUUUUGAUUUUUUUAUUUGAAUAAAAGUUUAAUUAUUUAA
This 1305-nucleotide long non-coding RNA is filed under the name Daucus carota (carrot). RNAcentral describes it as "long non-coding RNA (DCAR_LNC001229)". The record is from RNAcentral. Lineage: Eukaryota; Viridiplantae; Streptophyta; Magnoliopsida; Apiales; Apiaceae.